This is a long non-coding RNA of Brassica rapa (field mustard), 1909 nucleotides long. RefSeq lists it as uncharacterized. The record is from RefSeq and is a predicted model, not a curated record. NCBI's taxonomy places the organism in Eukaryota, Viridiplantae, Streptophyta, Magnoliopsida, Brassicales, Brassicaceae.
GAGAAUUAUGAAGUUUUACUAAAUUAAUUGAUAAAAUUUUAAAAAUAUUCCCAUAUACCAUGAAAAAGAGCUUAAAAUACAUUAAUACAAAUGUAGAAUUUGGUUAGAAAUUUUAAAACAACACUAAAGAUUAUAGGCUUCAAUAUAUAAAGAAUUUACCAAAAACUCAAUAUUUUCGAAGGGUUAACACAUGGAUUUUGAGAAAAUUUCAUAAAAUAUGACACUAUGGUUUUAAUGCGUAGUUUCAUCCUGCACUAACCUAUGAUGAUGUUCAAAGAGAUUUGGAGCCUUUGUUGUCUCCGUUUUUCAAGAAAAUAUUAUUUUAUAGUGGUUAUUCCAUCGAUUUAGGGAGGAUUAUGAAGUUUUACUAAAUUAAUUGAUAAAGAAAAAUAAUGAUUCCCAUAUCCUACUAUAUAAAAGGAGCUAAAUUCUAGCUUCCUAAGCCCUGCCACAUCACCUAAAAUAUUUAGAACCAAUUAAUGUUACACAUCAACAUGUAAAUUAGCUAAAUUCUUGCGACUCCUCAUGUCAUCUCUGUGGCGGCUCCGCGGUUGCCUCCCUCCGUUGCCGUGACCAAGCUUCCUUCGCGACUAUAAGCCACGUUAUUUCCUAGCUCCCAAAGUCGUCGAUCUCACUUCCAAUUGCAGAAGAUCUCAAGCCGCGGCAGCCAAAUUAGCCAAUCUCACUUCUAUUUCGUCUGAAGGGUUGAUGGUUGACCGUCUCCGACUCUUCAUUUUGUCGUCACCACCACAUUGAUUAAUCAAUUAUCUUCUUUACUCCUUUCGUCUCCUUUUAUAUCAGAAUUAUGCUUUAUGGUUUGAAUCCGGUGGUUUAUUAUUUUUAUUUUUGUUUGUAAUUGUUUUCAGGCACCACUCAUUCCAGCCAGAAACAUCUGGAUACUCUGUUCACGUAGCUAUGUUCACAAGAAGUUGCUUAGCAGAGGAUGAUACUCUGAUCACGCAGCUAUUCGUAAAAACGGAGAUAGUGAAAUUGAGUAGACAAUCAGAGAGAUGGAAGCAACAGAGAUGGAAGCAACGAUGAAAUGAAAUAAUUUGAGCAAAGUGGACGACCGUAAUGCAAGAAGCUAUAUAACUUAAAGGAAACAAAAAAAUGUUUUACAUUUUUUUUUAGGAUAAAUGGUCAUCCGUUUGAUGCAGAAAUGUUCUACUUGAGGCAUGUAUGCACAAAGUGACAGAAGAGUCAGAAAAACGUGGAGCAUUUUGGUCUGAAAAGUGGCCAGAGUAGAGAUUGUUCAUCAGUGGUUUGAAGACACAUAUGGAAAUCAACACAAGAGGAUUUCACAGCAGACAUGAUUGUUGAAAAACUAUUGUUUCAGUCAUACUUCAAGGGUGUAGGAAUUGAUUGGUGGUAUGUGAGAAACGUUAUGGAUUGAGAGCUGUAUAUGGAGGUUUUAUUGCUGCAUUGAAGGAUCUGAGACAGUGAGACUCUGUGUGAUUAAUGUACUUUCCUCAAACUUACGACCUUCAUGAUGAUUCAUCAAUUCUCUGCACUGAAGAAGAGGUGCAGCUUGGUGUCUGUAAUGGUUGAAGUGGACCGAAUUCUUAGACCACAAGAAACAUUUAUAGUAAAUGAUGGCAUGGAAAAGAUAGGAGAAAUUGAGAAGAUGAUGGAAUCACUGAAAUAAAUGUAAGAAUGACACAUUCCAGAUAUGGAGAAGGAGUGAUCUCUGUUCAGAAGUCAUGGUGGCGUCCUACAGAGGUCGAGACCAUUACAUCGGUCAUAUCAAGUGAAAGAGAAUUGGUUUAAUAUAGUUUUAUGAGAAUGUUUCUUUCAUGAUCACGUUGAUUGCUUACAUUGUAUUAGGCCAAUAUGUGUAUCUUUUUUUGCCUUGACGAAAAUUAUAUACAAGACAUUGUCCCUAUAAUAUAAGCUUUUUAUAAGUUUUUAA